GCGCACCAGGCGCGAAACUUCACAAUGUGCGAAAGCACGAUGAGGGAAUCCCAAGUGCUUGCACGUAAGUGUAAGCUGUUUCUCUGUCUAAAACGCAGAGAGAGUAAGGGCUGGGUAAGACGGGUGCCAGCCGCCGCGGUAAUACCUGCAGCUCGAGUGGUGACCGUUAUUAUUGGGCCUAAAACGUCCGUAGCCGGUUUAAUAAAUGCCUGGGUAAAUCGGACCGCUUAACGGUUCGAAUUCCGGGUAGACUGUUAAACUUGAGACCGGGAGAAGUUAGAGGUACUCCUGGGGUAGAGGUGAAAUUCUGUAAUCCUAGGGGGACCACCAGUGGCGAAGGCGUCUAACUAGAACGGGUCUGACGGUGAGGGACGAAGCCCUGGGGCGCAAACGGGAUUAGAUACCCCCGUAGU
Molecule: ribosomal RNA, 413 nt
Filed under: uncultured microorganism
Description: bacterial SSU rRNA
Rfam family: Archaeal small subunit ribosomal RNA
Source: RNAcentral